CUUGCUCUCUCUCUCUCUUUCUCAGUCUCAAAUAAAUAAACAUUUUAAGAAAAAAGUUUAAAAGUCAACUCUGGGGUAAAGUGAACUUUCACUUCCAGUAAUAGAUUUGGUAAUUCAGGCUAAUAUUCUUACUGAGGAAAUCCACGUAAGUUGGACAAAAUAUUUUAAAAAUCAUUCUAGGAGCUAACAUGAAGAAUGAAUGUAACAAGAUCUGAGAGAAAGAAACCCAGAGAGGUGAGAAUAUUUAGAGCCACUUUUCCCAAAGAGGUGGCGGAGAAGCUGAACCAAACUUUUGACAGAUUAACAGGGAAAGGGGUAUAAAAGUUGAAGUCUGAGGAAGGUCAAGGGGCGUGACAACACGCAGUAAGUUGGGAACCAAAGGACUACAUUGGCAGUAAUGGUAAACUAGAAAUAGACUAUCCCUUCUAGCUUCAAAUCCUCUCAGGUCCCUCAAUUGGAUUAAGGUGAUCUAGGAUUGCUAGUGACCUUAAUCUUUUGCCAGAAGCAAAUAUAAACCCUCCUUGGCCAAAGAUAUUAUUUUAGACCUCAAACUAUUUUUACAGUUAUCUAAAUGCAAUAUCUGACAUUCACUUAAAAAUAAUCAGAUAAGCAUUCGCAAACUGAUGGGAUAUGUCAAAGGGCACAGAAGAAUCCAUGAGUUGAUAAAAAUACUCAAACAAAGGGCAAAGAGAGGAGGGAAAACUCUUCUUUACAGAGGAAUGCCAGUUAAUGUACAUGGAUUGAUAGCAUUAAAAAAUAAUUUUGUAACCACCAGAAUAGUAAGUGAUAAGGAAAUGCUUAUUAAUGGAUGUUAACACCACUGGGUAAACAAUUGGAAAAUAGGAUAUCCACAUAGUCUCCAAGUAUCUUCUUAUGUAUUAUUAAUAACAAAAGGAAAGAGGUAUUUUGACAGUAGAGAAGUCUGAUACACACCACCUUAACGAAAUGAUCACACUUAAAAUGACCAUUAACUGACAUUAUAUGCCUUCUGAUAUGGUGAACAGAGGAGGACAAACCAUCAUCAGUGUAUUAUUCUUAUAAAGUAUAUAUACAUAAAUAUGUUUUUUAAUUUGGCAAGUGUAUACUGAAGUCUAAUUGCAGAAAAUUAGACUUGUUUUAGGAGCUGUGGAGAAUAAGACCGAAGAUAGUAUAGUAAUGUCUUCUUUAAAUUCAAGUUUAUAAGCUAGUUGGUAAGAUAAGCCAUCCAAUGUAAUUAUAUUACAAGAAUUAUUUUAUUUGCCAAGAUUUCAAAGAUUUUUUUCAAAUGCCUACCUGGUCAUCCAAGACUCUAGUACUCUCCUGUAUAAACUAUUGUCAAUUGUCAAUAGAAACAGUUAUAACUCUGAAAGUAGUGCUUUCAUUAGGACAAUUUGAUUUGGAAAUCUUUAAUUUUGUCCACUGAGCUAUAUAUAGGUCAAUUUACUUCAACAAAAUGUCAGAGUCUGUUAUGCCUUGGGAACUUUAUGGGCACUGGGCAUACAUCUUCACAGUACUUUGCUAAAAGGCAAAUCGUCCCCUGGGAGAUGUAUCUUUUUAAACUGCUGGUAGUCAUUUCAAUUUUAGUUUAAGGACUUUCCAUCUUGAGAGUAGAUUUUGAUUGGGAUAGAGAACAUGAGGGCAUUUGAGCACGCAAGGCAUAAAAAGAGAGGUUUUCUUUGAAACAAUCGAGUGAAGAAAAUGGAUGAUGAUUUUCUGUUAUUGUUAAGAAAGUAUGGGAGAGUUGGGGGAUUUAGUUGUGGAGUUAUUUCUUUUUUUUUUUUUUUUUUUUUUUUUGCAGAGAAGAAGAUUGGUUGGUUACGUGUUGGAUGGUUAAGGAGAGAGGUUAAAGAGUAAAAGGGAGGGAAGAACAUUACAGAAAUUUAACCAUACCUUGCCAUAGCUACCUAGAACCUGUCUGGGGAGCAGGAGUAGGGCAGGUGGAAGAAACCAGUUCUAGAACAUCAAUAUUUACUCUAAGCAAGAGAAAACAAUCAUACAAAUCCAAAUAAUGGAACAUUUUAAAGAACUCCUUAAAAAUAAUAAUGUCAUAAGAGGAAAAGAAAAAAAAAGGCAGCACAACUAUUCUAGAUUAAAGGAAACCAAAGGUUAUGCUUGAUCUUUAUGUAGAUACUAGAUAUUCAGAAAAUGCUAUAAAGGAUAUCAUUCAAUUAGGGAAAUCUGAAUAUGUGCUGAAUAUUAGAUAUAUAUAUUAUGGUAUCAAUAUUUAAUUUUUUGAGUGAUGAGAGGUACUGUGAUUAUGUAGAAGAGUAUCUCUGUUCUUAAGAUAAAGAUACACGGUGAACUAUUCAGAGGGUGAAGCACCAUGAUAUCUGUAGAGUCCUUUCAAAUGGUUCAGGAAAAAAAUAUACAUAUAUGCAGUACUCACUUUGCAUAGUAGUGCAGCACUCAAGUGACCAUGUGACGUGAAAUUAUGCUAAGUAAUUUUAAUUAUCAGUGGAAAAAAUUACCAGUGUUCCAUGAACUUUAAACAUUUCUGUCAAAACAUUAUGAUGGCCAGUUAUAAAUGUAAGAAAGUAAGAAAAUAGUAAAACUAAUUUUUAAUUGGCACACUAGCAUUUAAAACAAUAGAAACAUUGAGGAUUGAAGUAUUGCAUUUCUUUGUGAAAAACUUAAGUAUAAUUUGAACAGUUCUUCUGAUCAUAUAGCUAUUUGGAUCAAGCAUCUUCUCUGUGCCUUUGCAAAUGGCCAUACUUCAGAGUUUGGAUCAGCUUGCACAAGUUUAUCAUUUGCGCUUAUAAUGCUGUGAAAUAUCUUCAGAAGUUCUUUUGAUGUGAAGUUUUUGCCAAUGUCACUUCCUCCAAGACAUUUUCAAGCUUUUCAUCGUAACCACUUUCCUCCUUAAUCUCAGUAACUUUGCAUCCACUGAGUUCCUCUGGCUGUAUAUCUAGAGUGUUACUAAUGGUGACAGUGUCAAUAUUCCCAGUUGUCUCUUUUGUACCUCCAUUUGUGCUUGAUUCAGAUUUCACUUUCAGUGUUAUCACUUUUAAUUUCUUUCCUGCACUUUCAUCUUUUUGGCCAAUUUCCUCUUUCAAAUAUCAUUUUUGUAAAGGGUCAUGUGAGUUUAUCAUGGGGAGAAGAGGAAGCAACACAAUUGCAUGCUUUGCUGUCUGUGUUUGAACUGAAUAACAGAUGUGCAGGGAGGGACCAAUCAUUGACAAAUUUUGAAAGAAGUGUCUUGAUUGGGUACUACGACUGAUUGUAAUGGGAUUCUGAUAAUUAUAGAGUGAUUUGAAGAUUGAAGCUCUGGCAGUGAAGUUGUCCUUUAUGCAAGUAUAGUUAGUAUACUAUGGUAACAGAAAUUUGAAUCAUGCCAUGUGUAACUGCCUGUAUGUGUGUUUGUAUACCUAGAUAUGUGUGUGGAUCUCAAUAAAGGAUAUAGAGGUGC
Herpailurus yagouaroundi (jaguarundi) is the source of this 3385-nucleotide long non-coding RNA. RefSeq lists it as uncharacterized. The record is from RefSeq and is a predicted model, not a curated record. The transcript has 2 exons. NCBI's taxonomy places the organism in Eukaryota, Metazoa, Chordata, Mammalia, Carnivora, Felidae.